RNAcentral lists this ribosomal RNA (440 nucleotides) under uncultured bacterium. RNAcentral describes it as "partial 16S ribosomal RNA". It matches the Rfam family "Bacterial small subunit ribosomal RNA", at positions 338 to 795 of the family's 1533-position model. The record is from RNAcentral.
CCUACGGGAGGCUGCAGUGGGGAAUAUUGCACAAUGGGGGAAACCCUGAUGCAGCGACGCCGCGUGAGUGAAGAAGUAUUUCGGUAUGUAAAGCUCUAUCAGCAGGGAAGAAAAUGACGGUACCUGUUUAAGAAGCCCCGGCUAACUACGUGCCAGCAGCCGCGGUAAUACGUAGGGGGCAAGCGUUAUCCGGAUUUUCUGGGUGUAAAGGGAGCGUAGACGGCAGGACAAGUCUGGAGUGAAAUGCCGGGGCUUAACCCCGGAACUGCUGUGGAAACUGUGCAGCUAGAGUGCAGGAGAGGUAAGUGGAAUUCCUAGUGUAGCGGUGAAAUGCGUAGAUAUUAGGAGGAACACCAGUGGCGAAGGCGGCUUACUGGACUGUAACUGACGUUGAGGCUCGAAAGCGUGGGGAGCAAACAGGAUUAGAUACCCUAGUAGUC